CAGAAUCUGUACUGUGGGACAGAGCCACCUGCAUCUCCCUACAGAAUAGUUUGGAAAGCUUUCCCCCACUUCUUCUUUUGGCAGGACAUUAGUCAUUAUAAUAAAGGUCUUGUAUUUACCAGACCUGUUUAGACAAAUAAUCUGGAAGCGACAGGAGGAAAUCUGCAAUAACUUACAAUCAGCUCUUAAUUUGUAACUGUUUAGAUUUUUCACAGUACGCCUGAAAUGAGUAAUGUUUAUACAAAGUUCAAGACUUCUACAAGCAACUCUGCCCUCCUGAGUGUGACAGCUUGCUCCUGGCAUUCAGAAACACAGGCCUGAUGUUCCACAUCGUGUUAGAGACUCAGCAUCUGGGCAGAGAGAUCCAUCUAUAAGGACUUUUGGAAGAAGAGUCUUGCUAUUUAGAGAUCUGCAUAUGACGGAUUUCCACACAAGAUCUCCAUGACGAAUCUCAACAAAUAUUGGCCUGUGUUGUUGAUGGAAUUGCACCACCUCCCAAUUCAUGUCUUGCUGUCCUACCCCUCCCGCCUGAUCACAUGAUUGUACCUGGAGCAAGGGCCUUUAAAGAGCUAACAACGUUGAAAAUGAGCUCACCAGGGUGGGUCCUAAGCCAAUAUGAUUAUGAAUGGGAACUUUGAACACAGAAUAUACAGAGGAAAGACUCUGUGAAGACUCAAAGUAAAAAC
This 686-nucleotide long non-coding RNA is filed under the name Mus spicilegus (steppe mouse). RNAcentral describes it as "lncRNA (ENSMSIG00000007844.1)". The record is from RNAcentral. Lineage: Eukaryota; Metazoa; Chordata; Mammalia; Rodentia; Muridae.